RNAcentral lists this ribosomal RNA (1502 nucleotides) under uncultured bacterium. RNAcentral describes it as "bacterial SSU rRNA". It matches the Rfam family "Bacterial small subunit ribosomal RNA". The record is from RNAcentral.
AGAGUUUGAUCCUGGCUCAGAUUGAACGCUGACGGCACGCUUAACACAUGCAAGUCGAACGGUUUAGUGGCUUCGGCCAUUGAGCAGUGGCGGACGGGUGAGUAACGCGUAGGAAUCUGCCUUCAUGAGGGGGACAACCUGGGGAAACCUGGGCUAAUACCGCAUAAAGUUGCCUGCAAGGGUAAUGAAAGUAUGCUUUGGCAUAUGCAUGAAGAGGAGCCUGCGUUGGAUUAGCUAGUUGGUAGGGUAAAGGCCUACCAAGGCGAUGAUCCAUAGCUGGUCUGAGAGGACGGACAGCCACACUGGGACUGAGAACGGCCCAGACUCCUACGGGAGGCAGCAGUGGGGAAUAUUGGACAAUGGGGGCAACCCUGAUCCAGCGAUGCCGUGUGUGUGAAGAAGGCCUGCGGGUUGUAAAGCACUUUUAUUGGGGAGGAAGAAGUGGAGAUGAAUAAGCUUCAUUUUUGACGUUACCCGAGGAAUAAGCACCGGCUAACUCUGUGCCAGCAGCCGCGGUAAUACAGAGGGUGCAAGCGUUAAUCGGAUUUACUGGGCGUAAAAGGGCGUGUAGGCGGUUGUAUGAGUCAAUGUGUGAAAGUUCCUGGGCUUAACCGAAGGGAUUGCACAUGAUACUGUAUGACUAGAGUGGUGUAGAGGGUAGUAGAAUUUCCAGUGUAGCGGUGAAAUGCGUAGAUAUUGGAAGGAAUACCGGUGGCGAAGGCGGCUACCUGGACACACACUGACGCUGAGGCGCGAAAGCGUGGGGAGCGAACAGGAUUAGAUACCCUGGUAGUCCACGCUGUAAACGAUGAGAACUAGCUGUUGGAGGGGUAAAGCCCUUUGGUAGCGAAGCUAACGCGAUAAGUUCUCCGCCUGGGGAGUACGGCCGCAAGGUUGAAACUCAAAGGAAUUGACGGGGGCCUGCACAAGCGGUGGAGCAUGUGGUUUAAUUCGAUGCAACGCGAAGAACCUUACCUACCUUUGACAUUGUGCGAACUUGGGUGAAAGCCUGGGGUGCCGAAAGGAGCGCACGAACAGGUGCUGCAUGGCUGUCGUCAGCUCGUGUCGUGAGAUGUUGGGUUAAGUCCCGUAACGAGCGCAACCCUUAUUCUUAGUUGCCAUCGGGUAAAGCUGGGCACUCUAAGGAGACUGCUGGUGAUGAACCGGAGGAAGGUGGGGAUGACGUCAAGUCCUCAUGGCCUUUAUAGGUAGGGCUACACACGUGCUACAAUGGGCAGUACAGCGGGAAGCGAAGUGGUGACACGGAGCGAAUCUUGAAAAGCUGCUCGUAGUCCGGAUUGGAGUCUGCAACUCGACUCCAUGAAGUCGGAAUCGCUAGUAAUCGCGGAUCAGCAUGCCGCGGUGAAUACGUUCUCGGGCCUUGUACACACCGCCCGUCACACCAUGGGAGUGGGUUGUACCAGAAGUAGGUAGCUUAACCGCAAGGGGGGCGCUUACCACGGUAUGAUUCAUGACUGGGGUGAAGUCGUAACAAGGUAACC